RNAcentral lists this ribosomal RNA (371 nucleotides) under uncultured bacterium. RNAcentral's name for it is "bacterial SSU rRNA". It matches the Rfam family "Bacterial small subunit ribosomal RNA", at positions 28 to 403 of the family's 1533-position model. The record is from RNAcentral.
GACGAACGCUGGCGGCGUGUUUAACACAUGCAAGUCGAACGGUGAAGCCCUUCGGGGUGGAUCAGUGGCGAACGGGUGAGUAACACGUGAGCAAUCUGCCCUUGACUCUGGGAUAACUUCGGGAAACCGGAGCUAAUACCGGAUAUGACAUACGGCCGCAUGGUCUGUGUGUGGAAAGAUUUAUUGGUCAGGGAUGAGCUCGCGGCCUAUCAGCUUGUUGGGGGGUAAUGGCCUACCAAGGCGACGACGGGUAGCCGGCCUGAGAGGGUGACCGGCCACACUGGGACUGAGACACGGCCCAGACUCCUACGGGAGGCAGCAGUGGGGAAUAUUGGACAAUGGGCGAAAGCCUGAUCCAGCAACGCCGCGUG